Molecule: ribosomal RNA, 645 nt
Filed under: uncultured Alteromonas sp.
Lineage: Bacteria; Pseudomonadati; Pseudomonadota; Gammaproteobacteria; Alteromonadales; Alteromonadaceae
Description: bacterial SSU rRNA
Rfam family: Bacterial small subunit ribosomal RNA
Source: RNAcentral
CGAACGGUAACAGGAUGUGCUUGCACAUCGCUGACGAGUGGCGGACGGGUGAGUAAUGCUUGGGAACUUGCCUUUGCGAGGGGGAUAACAGUUGGAAACGACUGCUAAUACCGCAUAAUGUCUUCGGACCAAACGGGGCUUAGGCUCCGGCGCAAAGAGAGGCCCAAGUGAGAUUAGCUAGUUGGUAAGGUAAUGGCUUACCAAGGCGACGAUCUCUAGCUGUUCUGAGAGGAAGAUCAGCCACACUGGGACUGAGACACGGCCCAGACUCCUACGGGAGGCAGCAGUGGGGAAUAUUGCACAAUGGGGGAAACCCUGAUGCAGCCAUGCCGCGUGUGUGAAGAAGGCCUUCGGGUUGUAAAGCACUUUCAGUUGUGAGGAAAAGUUAGUAGUUAAUACCUGCUAGCCGUGACGUUAACAACAGAAGAAGCACCGGCUAACUCCGUGCCAGCAGCCGCGGUAAUACGGAGGGUGCGAGCGUUAAUCGGAAUUACUGGGCGUAAAGCGCACGCAGGCGGUUUGUUAAGCUAGAUGUGAAAGCCCCGGGCUCAACCUGGGAUGGUCAUUUAGAACUGGCAGACUAGAGUCUUGGAGAGGGGAGUGGAAUUCCAGGUGUAGCGGUGAAAUGCGUAGAUAUCUGGAGGA